AUUGAACUUUGGCGGCAUGCCUUACACAUGCAAGUCGAACGGCAGCACGGAGCUUGCUCUGGUGGCGAGUGGCGAACGGGUGAGUAAUAUAUCGGAACGUACCCUAGAGUGGGGGAUAACGUAGCGAAAGUUACGCUAAUACCGCAUACGAUCUAAGGAUGAAAGUGGGGGAUCGCAAGACCUCAUGCUCGUGGAGCGGCCGAUAUCUGAUUAGCUAGUUGGUAGGGUAAAAGCCUACCAAGGCAUCGAUCAGUAGCUGGUCUGAGAGGACGACCAGCCGCACUGGAACUGAGACACGGUCCAGACUCCUACGGGAGGCAGCAGUGGGGAAUUUUGGACAAUGGGCGAAAGCCUGAUCCAGCAAUGCCGCGUGAGUGAAGAAGGCCUUCGGGUUGUAAAGCUCUUUUGUCAGGGAAGAAACGGUGGGAGCUAAUAUCUCUUGCUAAUGACGGUACCUGAAGAAUAAGCACCGGCUAACUACGUGCCAGCAGCCGCGGUAAUACGUAGGGUGCAAGCGUUAAUCGGAAUUACUGGGCGUAAAGCGUGCGCAGGCGGUUUUGUAAGUCUGAUGUGAAAUCCCCGGGCUCAACCUGGGAAUUGCAUUGGAGACUGCAAGGCUAGAAUCUGGCAGAGGGGGGUAGAAUUCCACGUGUAGCAGUGAAAUGCGUAGAUAUGUGGAGGAACACCGAUGGCGAAGGCAGCCCCCUGGGUCAAGAUUGACGCUCAUGCACGAAAGCGUGGGGAGCAAACAGGAUUAGAUACCCUGGUAGUCCACGCCCUAAACGAUGUCUACUAGUUGUCGGGUCUUAAUUGACUUGGUAACGCAGCUAACGCGUGAAGUAGACCGCCUGGGGAGUACGGUCGCAAGAUUAAAACUCAAAGGAAUUGACGGGGACCCGCACAAGCGGUGGAUGAUGUGGAUUAAUUCGAUGCAACGCGAAAAACCUUACCUACCCUUGACAUGGCUGGAAUCCUUGAGAGAUCAGGGAGUGCUCGAAAGAGAACCAGUACACAGGUGCUGCAUGGCUGUCGUCAGCUCGUGUCGUGAGAUGUUGGGUUAAGUCCCGCAACGAGCGCAACCCUUGUCAUUAGUUGCUACGAAAGGGCACUCUAAUGAGACUGCCGGUGACAAACCGGAGGAAGGUGGGGAUGACGUCAAGUCCUCAUGGCCCUUAUGGGUAGGGCUUCACACGUCAUACAAUGGUACAUACAGAGCGCCGCCAACCCGCGAGGGGGAGCUAAUCGCAGAAAGUGUAUCGUAGUCCGGAUUGUAGUCUGCAACUCGACUGCAUGAAGUUGGAAUCGCUAGUAAUCGCGGAUCAGCAUGUCGCGGUGAAUACGUUCCCGGGUCU
RNAcentral lists this ribosomal RNA (1352 nucleotides) under uncultured bacterium. Its description in RNAcentral is "bacterial SSU rRNA". It matches the Rfam family "Bacterial small subunit ribosomal RNA", at positions 28 to 1381 of the family's 1533-position model. The record is from RNAcentral.